UUGGGGGCAAGUCUGGUGCCAGCAGCCGCGGUAAUUCCAGCUCCAAUAGCGUAUAUUAAAGUUGUUGCAGUUAAAAAGCUCGUAGUUGAAUUUCGGGGUCAGUAGGUUGGUCAUGCCACAGGUAUGUACUGGUCUCACUGAUUCCUCCUUCCUGAUGAACUGUAAUGCCAUUAAUUUGGUGUUGCAGGGAAUCAGGACUGUUACUUUGAAAAAAUUAGAGUGCUUAAAGCAGGCUCACGCUUGAAUACAUUAGCAUGGAAUAAUGAAAUAGGACGUUUGAUUCUAUUUUGUUGGUUUCUAGGAUCGACGUAAUGAUUAAUAGGGAUAGUUGGGGGCAUUAGUAUUCAAUUGUCAGAGGUGAAAUUCUUGGAUUUAUUGAAGACUAACUACUGCGAAAGCAUUUGCCAAGGAUGUUUUCAUUAAUCAAGAACGAAAGUUAGGGGAUCGAAGACGAUCAGAUACCGUCGUAGUCUUAACCAUAAACUAUGCCGACUAGGAAUCAGACGAUGUUAAUUUUUUAAUGACUCAUUCGGCGCCUUACGGGAAAC
This 548-nucleotide ribosomal RNA is filed under the name uncultured Rhizophagus. RNAcentral's name for it is "SSU rRNA". It matches the Rfam family "Eukaryotic small subunit ribosomal RNA", at positions 548 to 1098 of the family's 1831-position model. Lineage: Eukaryota; Fungi; Glomeromycota; Glomeromycetes; Glomerales; Glomeraceae. The record is from RNAcentral.